Mycena crocata is the source of this 96-nucleotide non-coding RNA. NCBI's taxonomy places the organism in Eukaryota, Fungi, Basidiomycota, Agaricomycetes, Agaricales, Mycenaceae. The record is from the annotation of a GenBank genome assembly.
UCGGACGUGGUGCAUGAUGCACGCCUGCUUCUCAUGAGUGAAUAAUACCUGCGCAUACACCGGCCGGAAAUCUGGGUUCGACUCCCAGCGUCCGAA